CCACCACCACCACCACCGCCGCCGCCGCCACCGUUAUCAUCGAUGUUAGUCACUAAUAUCGUUUUUCAAAUGUUUUUUUGAAGCUUCACGUGUUUUGAUUGGUCUUGGGGUGUCACAACAGGAUGUUCAGGUACGACAUCACAAUUAACGUCUUAAGUCACCUUGCAGGUUUUGAAUGUUAAAAAGUAUCGUAUGUGAAUCUCCUUAUCAAAACCCUGGUUAGAUGUUAAAGCAGUAUUCAGUGAAUGGAGGUAUUGAAUUGUCCAUUUUUUAAAUGCAAGAAUGGAUCCUGAUUCAGUAUUCGAUCUGUGAGGAUUUAUUUAGAAUUCAUCACAUCUCACACAAAAACGUCCACGUUCAGACGUAUAAAGAAAAGGACGUACAAUGGAAUGACCAGUAUGCAGUUCUACAAUACAUGGCACAGAAGGAACUACAGAGCUAUAAGAAAUUAAACAAAAUGUCUACUCAUCUUUUGAUUGCUGCUCAGCAAGCACGGAAUAUUUGAAAGGUUGUCGAGUUGCAAUCAAAGACUGGUGAAGGCAAAAUAACAACAGCAAAGUAGUGCAACAAAAGGAUUUUACAGUCGUGUAUUUUUACCGUUUUGGAAUUUAUCAAGUGGCUAGCACCUGCAGGAAAGACGUGAGUAAGAAGAAUCUUUCAGAGAGCCGAUGUUCUGGGGGGAAAGAAAUGGCUGGGAAACGUGGGUAGUGUGGGCUGUAGGAGUUCGACGCACAAAGAAGGACGAGGCGUGGGAAGACGAAUUGACCAGGCGGAGCCGGAGUGCGAGACCAGCCAGUUUCGAGAAACAGAAGCCAUCAUUGUAGCAACAGAAUAAGCAUACUAGAGAUAUAUCUGUGAACUAGAUGAUGGAGCAUAUCCGUCUGUGACUGAUUCCAGUUAGUCAAGUGGACAUCCUCUGAAGACGAAGAGGAUACUCCGGAUACCUGCUGCAUGAAAAAUUUAUAAUUAAGUGGAUGUUAAUGUAUUUGAUGUAGAGAAUAAAUUUUGUUUAAUUACAUUGUG
This is a long non-coding RNA of Octopus sinensis (East Asian common octopus), 1023 nucleotides long. RefSeq lists it as uncharacterized. The record is from RefSeq and is a predicted model, not a curated record. The transcript is spliced from 4 exons. NCBI's taxonomy places the organism in Eukaryota, Metazoa, Mollusca, Cephalopoda, Octopoda, Octopodidae.